This 510-nucleotide ribosomal RNA is filed under the name uncultured bacterium. RNAcentral describes it as "bacterial SSU rRNA". It matches the Rfam family "Bacterial small subunit ribosomal RNA", at positions 1 to 507 of the family's 1533-position model. The record is from RNAcentral.
ACGUAGUUUGAUCAGUGGCCUCGAGGAUAGACGCUGGCGGCGCGCCUAACACAUGCAAGUCGAACGGAGUUAUCUUAUUAGAUCCCGUUCGGGGUGAAGUAUUUUUUUAACUUAGUGGCGAACGGGUGAGUAACGCGUGAGUAACCUGCCUUCAAGAGGGGGACAACAGUUGGAAACGACUGCUAAUACCGCAUAACAUAUCGAAAUCGCAUGAUUUUGAUAUCAAAGGAGCAAUCCGCUUGAAGAUGGACUCGCGUCUGAUUAGAUAGUUGGUGGGGUAACGGCUCACCAAGUCUACGAUCAGUAGCCGGACUGAGAGGUCGAUCGGCCACAUUGGGACUGAGACACGGCCCAGACUCCUACGGGAGGCAGCAGUGGGGGAUAUUGGUCAAUGGGGGAAACCCUGAACCAGCGACGCCGCGUGAGGGAAGAAGGUUAUUUGAUUGUAAACCUCUGUCGUCAGGGAAGAAAAUGACGGUACCUGACAAGGAAGCACCGGCUAACUACGUG